RNAcentral lists this ribosomal RNA (4187 nucleotides) under Anaerolineae bacterium. RNAcentral's name for it is "23S ribosomal RNA". It matches the Rfam family "Bacterial large subunit ribosomal RNA". Lineage: Bacteria; Bacillati; Chloroflexota; Anaerolineae. The record is from RNAcentral.
UGUUCAAGCUACUAAGGGCGCACGGUGGAUGCCCUGGCGCCAGGGGCCGAUGAAGGACGCUGCCGGCGGCGAAAGGACCGGGGAGGUGCCUAGCAACCUUCGAUCCGGUCGUCUCCGAAUGGGGCAACCCCCGGCGGGUCAUACCGCCGGAUCCCGCGCUGAAUCCAUAGGUGCGGGAGGGCCAGUCGGGGAACUGAAACAUCUCAGUACCCGGAGGAAGAGAAAUCAACCGAGAUUCCCGGAGUAGUGGCGAGCGAAACGGGAACAGCCCAAACCCGCGGCGCGUGAGAGCUCGCAGGCGUUGCGCCGCGGGGGUUGGAGGGCGUCACCGGGCCGGGCUGCGAACCGGCCGGGAAGUGACCAAUCCCCGCUCUAGCCGAACUGUCCUGGAACGGCAGGCCGUAGACGGUGAGAGCCCGGUAGGCGAAAGGGCGGGGACUUCCUGGGUGACGUUCCUGAGUACCGCGGGACACGUGGAACCCCGCGGGAAGCUGGGGGGACCACCCUCCAAGGCUAAAUACCCCUGGCGACCGAUAGCGCACGAGUACCGUGAGGGAACGGUGAAAAGAACCCCGGGAGGGGAGUGAAAUAGAACCUGAAACCGUGCGCCUACAGACAGUCGGAGGGCUAUGCCGAUCCCCUCGGGGAUCGGAAUGCCUGACGGCGUGCCUAUUGAAGAAUGAGCCGGCGAGUUGCACCGUGUGGCGAGCUUAAGCGAGCGAAUCGCGGAGGCGGAGGGAAACCGAGUCUGAACAGGGCGCCGCUCCCGGAGGGGAGGCACGGCUUCGGCCGUGCAGUCGCACGGUGCAGACCCGAAACCGGGUGAGCUACCCAUGGCCAGGGUGAAGCGCGGUUAGCCCCGCGUGGAGGCCCGAACCCACUGGUGUUGAAAAACCAGGGGAUGAGCUGUGGGUAGGGGUGAAAUGCCAAUCGAACCCGGAGAUAGCUGGUUCUCCCCGAAAUGCAUUGAGGUGCAGCCCCGGCGCCAAGCCUCCGGGUGGUAGAGCACUGGAUGGGCUAGGGCGGGAGGACCCGUGCCGAACCCAACCAAACUCCGAAUGCCCGGAUGGCGUUCGUCGGGAGUGAGACGGUGGGGGAUAAGCUCCAUCGUCGAGAGGGGAACAACCCAGACCGCCAGCUAAGGUCCCCAAAUCGUGGCUAAGUGGGAAAGGAAGUGGCCUCGCUCAGACAGCCAGGAGGUUGGCUUAGAAGCAGCCAUCCUUUAAAGAGUGCGUAAUAGCUCACUGGUCGAGCGAUGCUGCGCCGAAGAUUCAACGGGGCUCAAGCCACGUACCGAAGCUGCGGGUCUCGCGUCCGCUGGGACGCGGGGCGGUAGGGGAGCGUUCCGGUGUAGGUUGAAGGCGGACCGGGAGGACCGCUGGACGACCCGGAAGUGCGAAUGCCGGCAUGAGUAGCGAAAAGGCAGGUGAGAAUCCUGCCCGCCGUAAGGCCAAGGGUUCUUACGGAAGGUUCGUCCGCGUAAGGUUAGGCGGGACCUAAGGCGAGGCCGACAGGCGUAGCCGAUGGACAGCCGGUCGACAUUCCGGCCCCGCUCGUCAGCCGUCAUGAGCCAAGGGGGGACGCAGGAGGGUAGGCCUACCGGGGGCUGGUCGUCCCGGGCCAAGCGGGUAGGCGGAGGCCCCAGGCAAAUCCGGGGCCUCGUCAACGCCGAGACGCGAGCGCGAGCUGGGUUGCAUGCCCGGCGAAGUGGCUCAGCCCACACUGCCAAGAAAAGCCUCGUGGCCAGGCUGGCGGGCGCCCGUACCGCAAACCGACACAGGUGGCCAGGCACUCAACGUGCCAAGGCGCGCGAGAGAACCCUCGUCAAGGAACUCGGCAAAAUGACCCCGUAACUUCGGGACAAGGGGUGCCUCGGUAGGGUGAGGUGCGUCACGCACCGAGCCCGAGGAGGUCGCAGAGAAUAGGCUCAGCCGACUGUUUAACAAAAACACAGGUCUCUGCGAAGCCGUAAGGCGACGUAUAGGGGCUGACGCCUGCCCAGUGCCGGAAGGUUAAGGGGACGGGUUAGUCCGGGUUCGCCCGGGCGAAGCCCUGAACCAAAGCCCCGGUGAACGGCGGCGGUAACUAUAACCGUCCUAAGGUAGCGAAAUUCCUUGUCGGGUAAGUCUCCACUUGCCCCAUGCGAGAGAGAUCUCGCAUGCCACACCGGCUCAUAUCGGUGGAGCCCUCGGGGGUGGAAAAUCUGCAAGUCCUGCCGAGGGGAAUACCGAGGGAAGCUGCGGCCUCGGCCGCUAGCCCCGUAACGACUUCGGGGGAAGGAACCCCCGGGGUGGCGUCUCUGGCCGGACGGCCAAAUCUACAGGCGCCACAAGACGCCGGUAUCUCGCCUGGAGCCAGCUGGUGGAUCUGCACGCCUACCUGUCCGGCUAUGCUGACGGAGAAGGGUGUUUCUGCAUCACCUUCAAUCGCAGUCCGCGGCGCGUCUUCGGCUGGGACAUCCGUCCGAGUUUCUCCGUCAGCCAGAACCGGGACCGCGCCGAGAUCCUUGAGGUGUUCCUCCGGACAUUCGGGUGUGGGACGAUUCGACCCGACCGAUCGGAUCGGACGCUCAAGUACGAGGUGCGGAGUGUGACGGACCUGGUGGCGCGCGUCAUCCCCCACUUCCAGCGAUACCCGCUGCUCUCGAGCAAGCGGAGAGAGUUUGCGGUCUUCGCUGAAGUGUGCGAGAUGAUGCACCGUCGCGAACACCUGACGGUGGCGGGAUUCCAGCGCAUCGUCAGGCUCGCCGGACGGAUCAACCAGACUGGCAAGAAGAAGUAUCCCAGGAUCGAGAUAAAGGUAUAGUCUACGCCCCUGGUAACAGGGAAAUUGCGUGAAGUUCCGACCUGCACGAAUGGCGUAACGAGCUGAGCGCUGUCUCGACGAGGGACUCGGCGAAGUUGUGAAGCCCGUGAAGACACGGGCCACCCGCGGCUGGACGGAAAGACCCCGUGGAGCUUUACUGCAGCUUGUCAUUGGAUGUGGUCUUACCGUGUAGAGGAUAGGUGGGAGGCGGAGAAGCCGGGGCGCCAGCCUCGGUGGAGCCACCCUUGGAAUACCACCCUCGGCAAGGUUACGUCCUAACCUGGGCCCUCAGCGGGUCUGGGGACAGUGGCAGGUGGGCAGUUUGACUGGGGCGGUCGCCUCCUAAACGGUAACGGAGGCGCCCAAAGGUCCCCUCAGCACGGUUGGAAACCGUGCGGCGAGUGCAAGGGCAUAAGGGGGCUUGACUGCGAGGCCUACAAGCCGAGCAGGGGCGAAAGCCGGGCCUAGUGAUCCUACGGCGGCAAGUGGAAGCGCCGUGGCUUAACGGAUAAAAGCUACCCCGGGGAUAACAGGCUAAUAGGGCCCAAGAGUCCACAUCGACGGCCCUGUUUGGCACCUCGAUGUCGGCUCAUCUCAUCCUGGGGCUGUAGUAGGUCCCAAGGGUUGGGCUGUUCGCCCAUUAAAGAGGUACGUGAGCUGGGUUCAGAACGUAGGAGCACUGCGUCCCUCGGGAGCAAUCCCGAGGUGCUCACCGGCUGAUAUCGGUGAAACCCUCGCAGAGGGGCCGAACGCUUCUGCAGGGCAACACCGAGGGAAGAUCGGGGGCUUGCGUGAAGGAGACGUUGAUCGGAACGGUGCUGGGUGACGGAUACCUUGAGCCUCACGGCCGAGGUGCUCGUCUCCAGGUGAACCACUCGGUUCGCCUGAAGGCGUACGUCCUGCCAGAGUUGCGGUACAAGCUCCCGUUCCCCGUAACGACUGAGGGCAUGAGGGCCCGAGAUAGGCGUCCGGCCGAAGCUGGCCACUCUACGGCGCCUAUCAUACGCCGGCUCCUCCGAUCCUUCCGGAGGAUGGAGCUAUAGUCUGUGCCCCUGGAAACAGGGGACUCACACGCGUGAGACAGUUCGGUCCCUAUCCACCGCGGGCGCAGGAGACUUGAGGGGAGCUGCUCCUAGUACGAGAGGACCGGAGUGGACGGACCUCUGGUGUACCGGUUGUCCUGCCAAGGGCACGCGCCGGGUAGCCAUGUCCGGACGGGAUAAGCGCUGAAAGCAUCUAAGCGCGAAGCCCACCCCAAGACGAGGUCUCCCACCGGGUCAACCGGGUAAGCCCCCUGGGAGAUGACCAGGUUGAUAGGCCGGAGGUGUAAGCGCUGAGAGGCGUUGAGCCUACCGGUACUAAUCGGGCGAGGGCUUGAGCCC